UGGGGAAUAUUGGACAAUGGGGGGAACCCUGAUCCAGCCAUGCCGCGUGUGUGAAGAAGGCCUUUUGGUUGUAAAGCACUUUAAGCGGGGAGGAGGCUACUUAGAUUAAUACUCUAGGAUAGUGGACGUUACCCGCAGAAUAAGCACCGGCUAACUCUGUGCCAGCAGCCGCGGUAAUACAGAGGGUGCGAGCGUUAAUCGGAUUUACUGGGCGUAAAGCGUGCGUAGGUGGUCUUUUAAGUCGGAUGUG
RNAcentral lists this ribosomal RNA (250 nucleotides) under uncultured bacterium. RNAcentral describes it as "partial 16S ribosomal RNA". It matches the Rfam family "Bacterial small subunit ribosomal RNA", at positions 355 to 596 of the family's 1533-position model. The record is from RNAcentral.